Thalassophryne amazonica is the source of this 329-nucleotide long non-coding RNA. RefSeq lists it as uncharacterized. The record is from RefSeq and is a predicted model, not a curated record. Lineage: Eukaryota; Metazoa; Chordata; Actinopteri; Batrachoidiformes; Batrachoididae. The transcript has 2 exons.
CCACUGUUCCACACCCGACCAAAAGAUGGAAGCCAGUUGGCAUCUGUGUGAGAGCUGUGGUCAAAGUUGGCCCCUACUCUGUUUGGAGGAAGCUUCCUCAGCUUCUCUUGUUCCUCUGAAAAGAGAUCAGACCUUCAGCUUCAUAAAACUGAUUAUGAUGAGUGCAAUGUUCAAAUAUGCUGGUCCUGCACACCUGACAUGAUUAUUACUGGUAAGUAUGCACAACCAAGAGCUACUCUUGAUACCAAUUUGAGCAACUAGAGUCAAAUUAACAGCCAGCAGCAAGCAUCAAACCACUGCUGACAUGCAAAUAAAAUCUGCAAAGCAAA